GGGCUCGUCGUCUAGAGGAAGGACAGUACCCUUCUAAGGUUCUAACGUAGGUUCGAUUCCUACCGAGCUCA
This 71-nucleotide transfer RNA is filed under the name Pectinodesmus pectinatus. RNAcentral describes it as "tRNA-Arg". It matches the Rfam family "tRNA". From Rfam's summary of the family: Transfer RNA (tRNA) molecules are approximately 80 nucleotides in length. Their secondary structure includes four short double-helical elements and three loops (D, anti-codon, and T loops). Further hydrogen bonds mediate the characteristic L-shaped molecular structure. tRNAs have two regions of fundamental functional importance: the anti-codon, which is responsible for specific mRNA codon recognition, and the 3' end, to which the tRNAs corresponding amino acid is attached (by aminoacyl-tRNA synthetases). tRNAs cope with the degeneracy of the genetic code in two manners: having more than one tRNA (with a specific anti-codon) for a particular amino acid; and 'wobble' base-pairing, i.e. permitting non-standard base-pairing at the 3rd anti-codon position. The record is from RNAcentral. Lineage: Eukaryota; Viridiplantae; Chlorophyta; Chlorophyceae; Sphaeropleales; Scenedesmaceae.